Molecule: ribosomal RNA, 207 nt
Filed under: uncultured bacterium
Lineage: Bacteria
Description: partial 16S ribosomal RNA
Rfam family: Bacterial small subunit ribosomal RNA
Source: RNAcentral
GGCGUAGACGGUGUGGCAAGUCUGAUGUGAAAGGCAUGGGCUCAACCUGUGGACUGCAUUGGAAACUGUCAUACUUGAGUGCCGGAGGGGUAAGCGGAAUUCCUAGUGUAGCGGUGAAAUGCGUAGAUAUUAGGAGGAACACCAGUGGCGAAGGCGGCUUACUGGACGGUAACUGACGUUGAGGCUCGAAAGCGUGGGGAGCAAACA